This 7310-nucleotide long non-coding RNA is filed under the name Arabidopsis lyrata. Its description in RNAcentral is "long non-coding RNA (ALYR_LNC001107)". Lineage: Eukaryota; Viridiplantae; Streptophyta; Magnoliopsida; Brassicales; Brassicaceae. The record is from RNAcentral.
AAGGUAAUGUCCUAUAAAAACUGUAUUUUGUCAUGUGUAAUUAGUGAAAUUGAACAAAACUUAGAAUAAUUGGAAUUGGGAGUUAUAGGUGUGGCCACCAAUUGGAAAGAAGAAGUUUGAGACUCUAUCUUACCUCCCUGACCUUACUGACGUCGAAUUGGCUAAGGAAGUUGACUACCUUCUCCGCAACAAGUGGAUUCCUUGUGUUGAAUUCGAGUUAGAGGUAAUAAACACUGGACCUUUCGUUUGUCUCUAAUCAUUAUAUAUUAUUUUCUUACAUAGCUAAAAACCAAAGUCAAUAAGCUUAUUUUCGUUUGUCUCUAAUCAUUGUUCAUUGAAUGGAUUUCGUAUUCAUUUAUAGCAUGGAUUUGUGUACCGUGAGCAUGGAAACACACCUGGAUACUACGAUGGACGGUACUGGACAAUGUGGAAGCUUCCAUUGUUCGGAUGCACCGACUCCGCUCAAGUGUUGAAGGAAGUGCAAGAGUGCAAGAAGGAGUACCCUAACGCCUUCAUUAGGAUCAUCGGAUUUGACAACAACCGUCAAGUCCAGUGCAUCAGUUUCAUUGCCUACAAGCCCCCAAGCUUCACUGAUUCUUAAUUAAAUCCUUUCUGGAAUAUUCAAUGUUGACUAUCCGGAACAAUUUUGUAUGGUCAAUGUAAAUUUAAGUAACUAUUAUCUAGCCAACUUAAACGUUGAGCAAUUGUUUUGCGAAAAGUGAAAAAGUUGAAGGUUUAUUUUCUAUCAUUUCCUCUAUAAUUAUAUCUAUUCAUAUCAUUUCAUUUUUGAUCUUAUCACUUUGAACUCUUUCAUCUUCGAUUUAGCUCUUUUAAGCAACAUUUUAUUUCCUUUACAUUUCCCUCCUAAUUUUUGCUUUUGAUUCUCUAGACUAACCUAUAAUAGAAGAGAGACCUUUUUAGAUACCUUUUUGGAAAAACUUUGCACAUGAAAUCAUAACAAAGAUGCCUCAAUAAAUCAAAUCUCGAAAGGGCCAGUACCUUGUGACUUAGAUGGAUGGGCUAGGACGAUCUCGCUUUCGAAAAAAAGAUUUAUUUGAUUUUGCUGUGGGUGGAGCAAUGUUGACUACCUCCGCACUAUUUUCUUGAACGGUUUUGGCUAUUUUGUACCUUGUACGCGCUUCUGCUCACGGGAAAUUUGUGAGCUUUAAGUUGGUAUUGUGGAUCCAUGACCAUAGCUUCUUCCUGUGGCCUUAGGGAGAGUUCUUGCCUCGGUUCCACACCGUCCAUUGAAGUGUGCUAUGAAAAUUCCCCACAAUCUGUCAUGUCUUCCAUGCUUAAGUUGACAUGGUGGAAAUCAUCUUGAGGUGCCACAUUUUAAGUGGGCCGUACGUGCAAUGGUGUGGUGCUCCGAAAGGAACGGUAGCAUGGGUUCCUAUAGCAUUGGAUCGUUUUCUAAACAAUAUGCAUUAUGUGUUUAUAAAUUUUAGUAAUUGUACAUACAUGUCCCAGUUUAAAAACAGAUUAACAUACAUUAUAAUUUUAAGGGCUGCCUAUAGCGUUACACCUAUACUAUAGCGUUUCAACUCCUAUCCACCUGUACUUUCGACCUCUGCCCAAUUCACCUUAUACUUGUUUUAAACUUCCUAAUUCCACCUAAACUAUUAAAUUCUCCAUAAUUAACCAAAAUCAAGAACUCUCUAUAAUUGCGAUUAAAAAUCGUUCAAAUCGCGUUUACUGUAGGCCAACCCGAGUCAGAUCCGACCAGCUUCGAAGACUUCUUUCACCAUAAGGGUUUGACUCGUGUUCAUUUGUUUUGUCGGGUCAACCUCGGAUUAAUAUAAACACAUAUUUUUUUACUGCAAUUUGAACUAUUUUUAAUCGUAAUUAUAGAGAGUUGGGCAGAUGUCGAAAGUACAUGUGGAUAGGAGUUGAAACGAUAUAUAUAGUAUAGUUGUAACGCUAUAGGCAGCCCUAAUUUUAAUAAGAAUGAUAUAAACUCAACUAAACUUCCUCUUCUUAGUUUGAAACUUUGCAUGACCAUUAACUCUCUUAUACUGCAUAAGACAUAAUUAGUGACAUAUUUUUUUCUUUCUAUUAUCAAUAUUUUCGUUAGCAUGUACUCGUUGUAAGAUGAAUAGAGAAAUAAUUGAAUUAUGAAAUAACGAAAUCAAUGUAUAUAUAUAUAAAACAAAAACAAUUUUACGCUGAACAAUUUUUUUUUAAAAAAAGGCAAAAAAAUUGCUUGUUUCAUAUUAUAGGAUGUUUUGGACCUUUUUUUUUGUUUCACAAUAUAUAAUGCUUUGAAGAAAAAAUACAAGUUUCUAUGUAAAACAUUAAAUUUAAUAGAUUAUUGACUAUUUACAUUAUGCAGUAAAUUAUAUCACUGAUUAAAUUAUUUUUAAUAGAUAUUAAUUUUUGUUUUAAUGUUAAAAACUCAAGAUUAGUUAAUUUCUUAAACUUUGUGCUUUCAUCUUUUUUUUUAUCUUUUUUUUUUGUCAUCCGAAAUUAAUUAUACCUCAAAAGAGAGAGUAUUAUUUGAAACAAAGAGAGUAUUAUUUAGCAGAUAAAUGACUUUUAUCUGAUUUAAUUAUAAUUUUAAAAUGUGCGGGAUGAAUUAAAAGAUCAUUUAUCAUUUUUCACGUUUUGUUUUUUUCCAGUUAGGUUUUUGUGAAUGGUUUUUACUCAGCGUAAUCAUGUUUUAAGAACAAGAACGUGAGAAAGUUAACAAAAUACCGUUGCAAGACUUUAUUUUUGUUUUACACAAAAUGUAGUUUUAUAUUUUCAAAGUAGUUUUUUUUAAUAGAAUUUACUUAUAUUCUUUUUAGUUAAGAUAAUCAAAUGGGAAAAUAAAAAUAUUAAUGUGUUAAUACAAGAUAAUAGAAAUUUAAUCAUUUUAAUAUAUAUGUAAAAAGUAUUCAACCGAUAUUUACAAUUAGACAGAACUAAGAAGUAUUAAAUUUCUCACCUCACCUCCCAAAAGAAAGGAGCCAAAAGCAACCGAUCAAGUGGAGACCAGUACUAGCCAUACACAUUCACUCGUUCCCUUACAAGAGAAAGAUAAGAUUAUGGAGUUUUCUGCCACUUGGUCUUAUCCUAGUGGUCCGAAUUGAUAAGGGUUUCAACACCUUUCCUUAAUCCUGUGGCAAUUAACGACGUUAUCAUGAAUUAUGGCCACUUUGAUCAUUAGGGCUUUUUGCCUUGCAGUUCUCACUAUAUAAAGAUGACCAAAUCAAUCGACAAACAAGUAAAAGAAACAACAAGAAGUAGUGAUGGCUUCAUCUAUGCUCUCCUCUGCCGCUAUGGUUACCUCCCCAGCUCAAGCCACCAUGGUCGCUCCAUUCACCGGCUUGAAGUCAUCCGCUGCUUUCCCGGUCACCCGCAAGGCCAACAACGACAUUACUUCUAUCUCAAGCAACGGCGGAAGAGUUAGCUGCAUGAAGGUAAUGUCCUAUAAAAACUGUAUUUUGUCAUGUGUAAUUAGUGAAAUUGAACAAAACUUAGAAUAAUUGGAAUUGGGAGUUAUAGGUGUGGCCACCAAUUGGAAAGAAGAAGUUUGAGACUCUAUCUUACCUCCCUGACCUUACUGACGUCGAAUUGGCUAAGGAAGUUGACUACCUUCUCCGCAACAAGUGGAUUCCUUGUGUUGAAUUCGAGUUAGAGGUACUAAACACCGAACUUUUCCUUUGUCUCUAAUCAUCCUUUAUUAUUUCUGUUCAUUGGUAGAAACAUAAGUCAAUAACCGGAUUUUAAAACCCGAAAUAGACUAUAACCGUGUGACUCCUCGACUAUCAAUGGUAUUGAAUGGUUUUGUCAUCUGUUUAUAGCACGGAUUUGUGUACCGUGAGCACGGAAACACUCCCGGAUACUACGAUGGACGGUACUGGACAAUGUGGAAGCUUCCAUUGUUCGGAUGCACCGAUUCUGCUCAAGUGUUGAAGGAAGUGCAAGAAUGCAAGAAGGAGUACCCUAAUGCCUUCAUUAGGAUCAUCGGAUUCGACAACAACCGUCAAGUCCAAUGCAUCAGUUUCAUUGCCUACAAGCCCCCAAGCUUCACCGAUGCUUAAUUCCCUUUCUGGAAUGUUCAACGUUGACUAGUAUUUCGGAAUCCAAUUCUAUGUGGUCAAUGCAAAUUUAAGAAAUUAAUUAGCCGACUUAAAAGUUGAGGAAUUAUUGUGUGAAAGUGAAAAAUUUGAAGGUUUUUUCUAUCAAUUUCCUUAUAAUUAUAUUUACUCAUUUGAUUUCAUUUUUUUUCUUCUAGCUCUUUGAGCUCUAUUUUUCGUUUAGCUCCUUUUGACAACAUUCCGGUUCAUUUAAAUUCUCCUCAUUAUUCUUGCUUUUGAGAAAUUGGCUACAUUGUUUCGAGAAAUUUUGCACAUGAAAGCAUAACAAAGAUGCCUCAAUUUAUCAAACCUCGAUGAUUUAGAACAAAAGAUUAUUUAAGGGGGUGUAACCUUUUAAGAUGAAAUAGCCAUUGGAGAUAGCAAAAGGUAGUAAAAGACGUAUACACUAUAAACAAAAUCCAAAUGUAUGCUUUUAAAAUUAUAAACAUGUAUUCCAAACGCCUAAGUGGAAUAUUCAGUUUAAUUCAAGUCCAAGAAAUGGCAUUAUAUAAAGCAAGGAUCGACAAAGACUGAAAUUUGUCUAGCAUGAAGUUACUAAAUUUUGGAAAUUGUGUUCACGUUAAAAGCUGAAACUUAACAGUUAUUUAUAAGGAAAAGCAGUUAAUGUUCCCAAAAAGUUCUAAAUGAAACUAGAAACCAAAUGAUAAAGAAAACGUAGCAUCUACAUGUUUGGUUUUAGUUUUUUUUUUUUUGACAAAAAUAUUCAAAUGUUUUUAGAUUCUUCUAUGCAAACGAUAUAUAGAAAAUAUAUACAUGAUUCAAAUAUAAUACAAAUAAAAAUAAUUAUUGAAAUUACCGAACAUUUUUUUGCAUCUCCCUGAUUUACUUCCCACAUUUUCGUUUCAAAUAAAAUUCAAGAAAAAGAAAGACGACGAAAAAAAAUGACUUAAAAAGACAAGGGACAGAAGCUGGUAACUUAGAUGGAUGGGUUAGGACUAUCUCACUUUCGAAAAAUGUUUAUUUGGUUGAGGUGCGGAGUGGAGUGGAGCUUGUGAUUCUUUGCCCUAUAUGAGAGUUUUUUCGUGACCAAUUAUGGUGAUUGUGUACUUUGUAUACAUGUUUCUUCUCAUAUGGUUGAAAUGGGGGCAUUUGUGAGCUUUAAGGUGGCAGUCUUGAUCCACGACCAUAGCUUUACAUGACUUUAAGGUGAGUUCUUGCCUUGGUUCUACACCGUUGAUUGAAAUGAAUUAUGAAAAUUCCUCAUGAUCCGCCAUUUUUACAUGCUAAGUUUUUUUUUUUUGAAAAAUGCAUGCUUAAGUUGAAACGGUGGUUAUCAACUUGAGGUGCCAUAUUUGUGAUUAAGUGGGCCGUAAGUGCAACGGCGUGGUACUCAAAGAGGAACGGUGGGGUGGGUUUCACAUCGUGAUUGUGAUGUGAGUAUGUAUGUGACCAGAGUCCAGGGCCGGCUCAAAAUUAUUCGAGACCUUGUGCUGAUGUAUAAAAAUUGGUUUUUAAAUAAUAUAGUGAAAAUUUUGGACCCUCAAUCUUAGAGGAAAUUGAAAUUUUUUUUUGAGGACCCUGUGCUUUUGCUCCUCUAGCACACCCUUAGAGCUGGCACUGCCAGAGUCACAAGAUAAUCGUGAGCUGGUCUUACUUGUUGAUCGAGAGGCAGCAUUAACUCAUAUAGAAGAAACCAUGGACCUCCGACCUUGGGAGGUUUUCUUGGAAAUUCUUCCAUGAUGGAAGCUUACCGCAUGAGCAUGAUACAGGUAGAUGCAUGAUGGUUUCGGUUGUUUGCUCGAUCGCUUUCUACCACAAACAUAUCUUGCAUCUAAUUGUUGUUGCCUUGUUGGUUCUCAAAUAUUUACUCUCGAAACAGUAAGAUGUUGUUAGCCAUACGUAAAUCAGAAAUAAAAGUAUAGUUGGCUAAAACUGCAGUGAGUAUAGAAUUAACCGAUAUCAAUUUAUUCAAAUUUCCGUCUCUCUUUUCUUUUGUUGGCUAAUAUAUUAUCAUUUGAAGAUAAUAUAUAGUUUUUCCAAGAAAAGAAUAUUGACAAUUUUUUUGUGGUAAGUGAUUUUAAGAAUGACUCCAGAAUCGACAGGUUACCCAGACAAUAUUUAUCAUGGAUAAACCUAUCGAAAAAUCUUAAAAAUCAGUAUUAAUAAAACGGAAGUAGUAAUGAACUUCUAAGCUAUGCAUUACAAUACAUUUAUCUCAAUGUCGAAUUUAAAUAAUUUUCUUAGAACUCCUUUUUUAAUGCGACCUUAUUCACCAAAUCAAGUGAAGCCAAAUUAAAUCAUGCAUGGUAAAUAAAAUAUCCAAAAGCAUUAAAUUUAAGGUAAUGCGUCUGAUUUCUUUCCUCCCAAACGAAAGGAGCCAAAAGCAACCGAUCAAGUGGAAACCAAUAACCACACAUUCACUUCGUUUCCCCCACAAGAGAAGAUAAGAUAAUGGAGUUUUCUGCCACGUGGCAUUAUCCUAGUGGUCCGUACCGAUAAGGGUGUCAACACCUUUCCUUAAUCCUGUGGCAGUAAACGACGUUAUCAUGAAUUAUGGACCCUUUGAUCAUGAGGGGCUUUUUUCCUGUUGCGGUUCUCACUAUAUAAAGAUGACAAAACCAGUAGACAAACAAGUAAGUAAGAGAAAAGAGCAAAAGAAGAAGAGAAACAACAAGAAGUAGUAAUGGCUUCCUCUAUGCUCUCCUCGGCCGCUGUGGUUACCUCCCCGGCUCAAGCCACCAUGGUCGCUCCAUUCUCCGGCUUGAAGUCAUCCGCUGCUUUCCCGGUCACCCGCAAGGCCAACAACGACAUUACUUCCAUCGCAAGCAACGGGGGAAGAGUUAGCUGCAUGAAGGUAAAGUAAAGUCAUUAAUGAAAGAUGUCUUUUGUCAUGGCAAUUAGUGUAAUUGAACAAAACAUAGAAUAAUUGGAAUUGGAUUCGGGAAUUAUAGGUAUGGCCACCAAUCGGAAAGAAGAAGUUUGAGACUUUAUCUUACCUCCCUGACCUUACUGACGUCGAAUUGGCUAAGGAAGUUGACUACCUUCUCCGCAACAAGUGGAUUCCUUGUGUUGAAUUCGAGUUAGAGGUAAUAAACACUGAACCUUUCCUUUGUCUCUAAUCAUUAUAUAUUAUUUUCUUACAUAGCUAAAAACCAAAGUCAAUAAGCUUAUUUUCUACACCAAAGUUGAGGCUAUCAUUGUCCAUCGAAUGGUUUUCUUAUGUGUUUAUAGCACGGAUUUGUGUACCGUGAACACGGAAACACUCCCGGAUACUACGAUGGACGGUAC